RNAcentral lists this ribosomal RNA (305 nucleotides) under uncultured bacterium. Its description in RNAcentral is "bacterial SSU rRNA". It matches the Rfam family "Bacterial small subunit ribosomal RNA", at positions 336 to 658 of the family's 1533-position model. The record is from RNAcentral.
UUCCUACGGGGGGCAGCAGUGGGGAAUAUUGCACAAUGGGGGAAACCCUGAUGCAGCGACGCCGCGUGAGUGAAGAAGUAUUUCGGUAUGUAAAGCUCUAUCAGCAGGGAAGAUAAUGACGGUACCUGACUAAGAAGCCCCGGCUAACUACGUGCCAGCAGCCGCGGUAAUACGUAGGGGGCAAGCGUUAUCCGGAUUUACUGGGUGUAAAGGGGGCGCAGACGGCAAUGUAAGCCAGGAGUGAAAGCCCGGGGCCCAACCCCGGGACUGCUCUUGGAACUGCAUGGCUGGAGUACAGGAGGGGC